CCCCGUUUAGCCCCGCCUCCUCAUCAGUCUCCCCGUGUAGCUCCACCUCCUCAUCAGUCUCCCUGUGUAGCCCCGCCUCCUCAUCAGUUUCCCCGUGUAGCCCCGCCUCCUCAUCAGUCUCCCUGUGUAACUCCGCCUCCUCAGCCGCGGUUUGGCGCUCAGCUGCGUGUCUCCGUCGCGCGCUCUGUGCUGUGGACUCUCAGUGAGGAGUUAGCUUAGCUGCUAAAACACACAGCUCUACAGAAAAGUGGCUUUAGGACUCGAACACAGAAAAACCCCAACAAAAGCCGCUACUGUUGAUCAGAAGUUCAGCCCCCGGCUCAGCAGGACAUCUGGGAGAUGAGCUGCAGUGACCAGCAGCAAGACAGAGAAGAACAGUGGAGAGGGAGCUUCUGCUCCUGUGUAUGAUGAGGUCUCCACCCUGGCUGUGACCUCUGAGCCCUCAAGAGCUACAUCCUCAGAUGGUCAGGAUGAUGUUCAGUACUACACAGUUCAUUUCUCACGCUCUCAGAUGAGGAACGUUCCUCUCUACUCUACUGUCCAACAGUCAAACUCGCUUUGUGAAGAAGAGGACAUGCAGUACGCCGCAGUGAACACUGCUAAACCAGGAACUGCUUGCACAGUCCAGAAGAAUGUGAGAUGAAGAAAGCUCCCACCUCUCCAGCAGAUGCAUCAAGUGGUGAACAAAAUCUGGG
Pygocentrus nattereri (red-bellied piranha) is the source of this 695-nucleotide long non-coding RNA. RefSeq lists it as uncharacterized. NCBI's taxonomy places the organism in Eukaryota, Metazoa, Chordata, Actinopteri, Characiformes, Serrasalmidae. The record is from RefSeq and is a predicted model, not a curated record. The transcript is spliced from 4 exons.